UCAACGGCCCUUUUCAGGGCCACUAAUUUGUAUCACUUUUCUGUUGU
Molecule: non-coding RNA, 47 nt
Organism: Rhodnius prolixus
Lineage: Eukaryota; Metazoa; Arthropoda; Insecta; Hemiptera; Reduviidae
Source: Rfam